This 441-nucleotide ribosomal RNA is filed under the name uncultured bacterium. Its description in RNAcentral is "bacterial SSU rRNA". It matches the Rfam family "Bacterial small subunit ribosomal RNA", at positions 1 to 415 of the family's 1533-position model. The record is from RNAcentral.
GUAGAUUCGCCUUGCGGAUCCGGGGUCUGCUGAAGAGUUUGAUCCUGGCUCAGGAUGAACGCUGGCGGAGUGCCUAACCCAUGCAAGUCGAACGGUCCGCACAGGAUAGUGGCGACCGGGUGAGUAACACGCAGACACCUGCCUCGCGCGAGGGAAUAAUUUCCCCAACGAGCAGCUAAUACCCAAAAGGGUAUGUAACGCCUCAGAGCUUAGUACGGGUCUGGGCGAGAGGCAGUGUGCGCGACAUGAGGCUACGUUCGUAGGGUAAUGGGCCACAAAGGCUAUGCGGGGUAGCGGCUCUCAGAGGCUGUUACGGCAGAAUGGGAAGUGAGCAUAUGGUAUAGAGAGUUCCGGGUGGCCACCAGGAGAGGAAUAUUGGCACAGUUGGGGGAAACUGUCAUUCUGAGUGAAACUGUGCGUUCAGGUGUGUGCAAUGUACUU